RNAcentral lists this ribosomal RNA (253 nucleotides) under uncultured bacterium. RNAcentral describes it as "partial 16S ribosomal RNA". It matches the Rfam family "Bacterial small subunit ribosomal RNA", at positions 524 to 776 of the family's 1533-position model. The record is from RNAcentral.
UACGUAGGGUCCGAGCGUUGUCCGGAAUUAUUGGGCGUAAAGGGCUCGUAGGCGGUUUGUCGCGUCGGGAGUGAAAACACGGGGCUUAACCCCGUGCCUGCUUCCGAUACGGGCAGACUAGAGGUAUGCAGGGGAGAACGGAAUUCCUGGUGUAGCGGUGAAAUGCGUAGAUAUCGGCAGGAACACCCAGGGGGAAACCAGCCGCCUGGGCAAGCGCUGACGCUGAGGUGCGAGAGCGUGGGGAGCGAACCGG